AUACGCAGUCAAAUAAAAUGACGUAAUUAUUCGAGUAAUUAAGAGGAGAAUUGGUAACUAUUAUAUUUCAAUGAUACGGGGAUAUGGGGAUACGCAGUCAAAUAAAAUGACGUAAUUAUUCGAGAAGUUUAAUAAGAGGAGAAUGGGUAAAUUAAGAGGAGAAUUGGUAACUAUUAUAUUUCAAUGAUACGGGGAUAUGGGGAUACGCAGUCAAAUAAAAUGACGUAAUUAUUCGAGAAGUUUAAUAAGAGGAGAAUGGGUAACUAUUAUAUUUCAAUGAUACGGGGAUACGCAGUCAAAUAAAAUGACGUAAUUAUUCGAGAAGUUUAAUAAGAGGAGAAUGGGUAACUAUUAUAUUUCAAUGAUACGGGGAUACGCAGUCAAAUAAAAUGACGUAAUUAUUCGAGAAGUUUAAUAAGAGGAGAAUGGGUAACUAUUAUAUUUCAAUGAUACGGGGAUACGCAGUCAAAUAAAAUGACGUAAUUAUUCGAGAAGUUUAAUAAGAGGAGAAUGGGUAACUAUUAUAUUUCAAUGAUACGGGGAUACGCAGUCAAAUAAAAUGACGUAAUUAUUCGAGAAGUUUAAUAAGAGGAGAAUGGGUAACUAUUAUAUUUCAAUGAUACGGGGAUACGCAGUCAAAUAAAAUGACGUAAUUAUUCGAGAAGUUUAAUAAGAGGAGAAUGGGUAACUAUUAUAUUUCAAUGAUACGGGGAUACGGGGAUACGCAGUCAAAUAAAAUGACGUAAUUAUUCGAGUAGUCUAAAAGGAGAAUGGGUAACUAUUAUAUUUCAAUGAUACGGGGAUACGGGGAUACGCAGUCAAAUAAAAUGACGUAAUUAUUCGAGUAGUUUAAGAGGAGAAUUGGUAACUAUUGUAUUUCAAUGAUACGGGGAUACGCAGUCAAAUAAAAUGACAUAAUUGUUCG
Non-coding RNA from Paramuricea clavata, 925 nucleotides. The record is from the annotation of a GenBank genome assembly. Lineage: Eukaryota; Metazoa; Cnidaria; Anthozoa; Malacalcyonacea; Plexauridae.